RNAcentral lists this transfer RNA (87 nucleotides) under Gammaproteobacteria bacterium. RNAcentral describes it as "tRNA-Ser". It matches the Rfam family "tRNA". Rfam says of the family: Transfer RNA (tRNA) molecules are approximately 80 nucleotides in length. The record is from RNAcentral. Lineage: Bacteria; Pseudomonadati; Pseudomonadota; Gammaproteobacteria.
GGAGAGGUGUCCGAGUGGUUUAAGGAGCAUGCUUGGAAAGUAUGUAUGCAGGAAACUGUAUCGCGGGUUCGAAUCCCUCCCUCUCCA